This 258-nucleotide unclassified non-coding RNA is filed under the name uncultured fungus. Its description in RNAcentral is "partial contains 5.8S ribosomal RNA, internal transcribed spacer 2, and large subunit ribosomal RNA". The stretch from base 1 to 52 matches the Rfam family "5.8S ribosomal RNA", at positions 103 to 154 of the family's 154-position model. Lineage: Eukaryota; Fungi. The record is from RNAcentral.
AACGCACCUUGCGCCCUCUGGUAUUCCGGAGGGCAUGCCUGUUUGAGUGUCAUGUAGACUCAACCCCUCGGGUUUCCGAGAAGGUUGGAUUUGGACGUUUGCCUGUCAUGGGCUCGUCUUAAAGGUCUUAGCGGUUACACAGCACCGUAGUCGGCGUAAUAAGUUUCGUCGAUGAGGGUGUGGUGUCUGCUUACAAUCGCCUCACGGCAAUCUUUUGACUCUGACCUCAAAUCAGGUAGGACUACCCGCUGAACUUAA